This 1314-nucleotide ribosomal RNA is filed under the name Paenarthrobacter sp. RNAcentral's name for it is "bacterial SSU rRNA". It matches the Rfam family "Bacterial small subunit ribosomal RNA", at positions 94 to 1419 of the family's 1533-position model. The record is from RNAcentral. Lineage: Bacteria; Bacillati; Actinomycetota; Actinomycetes; Micrococcales; Micrococcaceae.
AGUGGCGAACGGGUGAGUAACACGUGAGUAACCUGCCCUUGACUCUGGGAUAAGCCUGGGAAACUGGGUCUAAUACCGGAUACGACCAUCUGGCGCAUGUCAUGGUGGUGGAAAGCUUUUGUGGUUUUGGAUGGACUCGCGGCCUAUCAGCUUGUUGGUGGGGUAAUGGCCUACCAAGGCGACGACGGGUAGCCGGCCUGAGAGGGUGACCGGCCACACUGGGACUGAGACACGGCCCAGACUCCUACGGGAGGCAGCAGUGGGGAAUAUUGCACAAUGGGCGCAAGCCUGAUGCAGCGACGCCGCGUGAGGGAUGACGGCCUUCGGGUUGUAAACCUCUUUCAGUAGGGAAGAAGCGAAAGUGACGGUACCUGCAGAAGAAGCGCCGGCUAACUACGUGCCAGCAGCCGCGGUAAUACGUAGGGCGCAAGCGUUAUCCGGAAUUAUUGGGCGUAAAGAGCUCGUAGGCGGUUUGUCGCGUCUGCUGUGAAAGACCGGGGCUCAACUCCGGUUCUGCAGUGGGUACGGGCAGACUAGAGUGCAGUAGGGGAGACUGGAAUUCCUGGUGUAGCGGUGAAAUGCGCAGAUAUCAGGAGGAACACCGAUGGCGAAGGCAGGUCUCUGGGCUGUAACUGACGCUGAGGAGCGAAAGCAUGGGGAGCGAACAGGAUUAGAUACCCUGGUAGUCCAUGCCGUAAACGUUGGGCACUAGGUGUGGGGGACAUUCCACGUUUUCCGCGCCGUAGCUAACGCAUUAAGUGCCCCGCCUGGGGAGUACGGCCGCAAGGCUAAAACUCAAAGGAAUUGACGGGGGCCCGCACAAGCGGCGGAGCAUGCGGAUUAAUUCGAUGCAACGCGAAGAACCUUACCAAGGCUUGACAUGAACCGGAAAGACCUGGAAACAGGUGCCCCGCUUGCGGUCGGUUUACAGGUGGUGCAUGGUUGUCGUCAGCUCGUGUCGUGAGAUGUUGGGUUAAGUCCCGCAACGAGCGCAACCCUCGUUCUAUGUUGCCAGCGCGUUAUGGCGGGGACUCAUAGGAGACUGCCGGGGUCAACUCGGAGGAAGGUGGGGACGACGUCAAAUCAUCAUGCCCCUUAUGUCUUGGGCUUCACGCAUGCUACAAUGGCCGGUACAAAGGGUUGCGAUACUGUGAGGUGGAGCUAAUCCCAAAAAGCCGGUCUCAGUUCGGAUUGGGGUCUGCAACUCGACCCCAUGAAGUCGGAGUCGCUAGUAAUCGCAGAUCAGCAACGCUGCGGUGAAUACGUUCCCGGGCCUUGUACACACCGCCCGUCAAGUCACGAAAGUUGGUAACA